This is a long non-coding RNA of Homo sapiens (human), 2849 nucleotides long. RefSeq lists it as uncharacterized. The record is from RefSeq and is a predicted model, not a curated record. The transcript is spliced from 4 exons. Lineage: Eukaryota; Metazoa; Chordata; Mammalia; Primates; Hominidae.
AUGACUGGGGCAAGCAGAGACGUGCCCAUGAGUCAGGACUGCAGAAGAGCACUUUUUGCAUGGAAAGGAUAUCAAAAAUGAAGUACUCAAAGAGAACUGCAUCAUGAAGGAGAAACUUGGAUUUGUGAUUCAGGCAAGUCCAGGUUCAAAUCCUGGCUCUGCAAUUUACCAGCUGCAGAAACUUGGAUAUUUAGAACAGAUGAAGAUGAUCCCAAAUAAGGAUAUUUGGUGUCCCUGAAGUAGAGAACUCAAAACUAUGGAAUAGAAAGAGGAAGGACCUUCAAGCAUCUCAAAACAGAAAGUAUCAAAGAACUGAAACUCAUCAGAUCACCACAUCCAGACAGUGAGGCUGGACCACUAAUUCAUCAUGAUUGAUUCCAUGCUCCUCCCUAGUUCCUAGUUUCUGUUUUCUUGCAUAUUGUUACAUUUCUUCCCUGCUAUAUACACCUCUAGUUUUAGUAGUUCAGGGAGAUGGAUUUGAGACUGAACUCCCAUCUCUUUGGCUGUAGCACCCUAUUAAAAGACUUCCUCCUCCGUGAUAAUCCUUGUCUCAGUGAUUGGCUUUCUGUGUGGCGAGUAGCAGGAUCUAGACUGAACCCCUGGAUUUUCAGUAUCAGAAGUACUAUCUUGCCCUAAAGUUUAAGUGAUUAAACCAUUAUUACAUGUAUCAGCUAGGUUUAAGGUUUUAAGAAUAAUUGUUCCAUGGAGUUUAUUAUAUCCGCUUUGAAUCCUAGUAGAUUGAAAUCCUAGUUCUCCCACUUUCUUGCUAGAGACCUAGUGUAAAACAGAGACUCCAAAUUUAUCUUAUUUAUGAAGCAGAAAUAAUAUCACCUACUUAUUUUUUAGAGUUUUCAUAAGAUUUAUAAAUAAUAUUAAAUGUUCAGAGUACAUAGUAGGAGUUCAAUAUUAAAUCCAUCUGAUAAUCAAAGGUGUUUAGGAGUGUUCAUCCAAAAAAUAGUUAAAAUUUUCUUUGAAAAUUUUCUCCUGCUUCCGAUUUCUUUAAUCAUUGACCAUACUUGGAAGAGGUGAUCAGAAAAUAGAAACAUAAAUCUAAAUCAUUCUUAACCAAAAUUCAGACAUAAGCAGAAACAUGUCCAUUUAAGUGUAGUUAAUUAUUCUCCUAGGAUCUAAUGUAUCAUAAUGCUUACAAACACAUAUGUAUUAAUAGCAUUAUGUAUGAAUUAAUAUAAAGCAUGCAAGGACAUAGAAUAUGCUCAUUCUCCUGUAUCUGUGAUAGCUGCUGCUGCUUCUCCUUCUCCUUCCUCCUUCUUCUUCCCACUCCCCCUCCUUCUUCUCCUCCUUUCUUCCUCUUCUGUCUUCUGUGUCUUCUGUCUUCUUCCUAUUUCCUCUCAUCCCUCAUGAACUUGGACUCUUUCUCUCUGUACAUUUUUAUCAUGGAAAACUCAGUCUUUGCUGUGCAAAUGUUUCUCAGAGUUCCAACUCUAGUCAGUGUCUUUUUUCCAUAACUACAGAGCUGCUUUUCAAAUACCUGCUUGGCAUCUCUAUGUGGACAUCCUGACGGCACCUUAAACCGAAUAUGUCUGAAGUUGCAUUUAUGAUCUUAUUCCCCUGCAAAUUAGCAUAUCCUUCUGAUAUGCUUAUCUCUAAGAUUGGAAACCUGAGCUAGUUUUGAUUCUUCCUUUCUUGAUAUUCUAUAGCUAAACAAUUGAUCUUAAGUCCUCUCCCUUGAUAUCCUAAUUAUCCAGUCCCUCCUUCCCAUUCCUGCUUCCCAAUGGUUUCCCAACCUUCAGUGUCCCCCUGUUACCGUCUAGCCUACAAAUGAUACUUAGAUGAACCUUCAUCCUUAAUCACCGAAGCAAUAACUUACUUGCAUUCUCAAAAUCUCCCACUGGGAAACAUUAAAUAUAAACUCAUGCUUGGCAUCUGAGGCUCUCUACCACAGAUGAUCAAGUUAUCUUUUGGGACCUAUUGCCCUCUAUUCCUUUGUCCCUGAGGUUGUGCAUGAAUGGCCCCAAAAAGCCAGAUCUAGCUUGCAGAUAUAAUUUUCUUUGGGAAACACAAUGGCUUUAUAAAUUUUGAAUUAGCUGCUUAUUUCAAAUUAGUUGUUAACAUUUAUACAUUGGAAGGUUUUCUCAUGUAGAAAUCCAGAUUCUGGCUUCUGGAUCCCAACAUGAAAAGUUGGGAUGUCUGGCAGCUUUGAACCUGCAUGGCACAAAGGGCUGAGGCUAGGCAGCCAGAGCCCUUUGAAAGGGAGAAACAGGCCCCAGUUCACUACAGCCUUCACCUGACUGGUGUCACUCAAUCUGGUGCUGGCUUGGUGCCUUCAUGCACGUGGAUUUAUGACACUUGCUCUAGAAUACCUAGUGCUCAGCCAAGUGCGACAUUCCCAAAUGCAUAGUGUCUUUACUUCUGUUUCCCCCUCUUUCUGAAAAUGCCCUCUCCUUCCUUCUUUCCUGUCUUUACGGCCCAUUUCUAACACCAUAUCUUCCUUGAAGCUUUCUGUGAGCACCCCGCUGGAUGUGACUGCCCGUUUGUAAACGUCUGUAACACUCUGUGGCUUUCUUAUGGCCCAGAGCCCACCCUCCUUGGCAUCACAGUCAUAUCCUUGCUUUCUCCCUGUUUCUCAGGAAGAGAUAGAGAUGUACACUUUUCCCCACUCCUCAGGCUUUUUCAAAAAGGGGUUUUCCUCUUGACCUAGACUUUCUUUCUCCUCUCCAUAGAGAUGAAGAGCAUCUGUCCCCACCUCCCUUUCUCCUCAGGGACCUGCCUGUCUACACAGUGAAGAGGCCUUGUUAUGCUUGGCAGUAAAGGCGCUGAUGUGCAGGUGAAGAUGACCAGACAACUUUCUUUCAGCUUUAAGUCAGCCUCCUCUCCCUCUUCAAAGCCCC